RNAcentral lists this ribosomal RNA (320 nucleotides) under uncultured eukaryote. Its description in RNAcentral is "partial 18S ribosomal RNA". It matches the Rfam family "Eukaryotic small subunit ribosomal RNA", at positions 1470 to 1796 of the family's 1831-position model. The record is from RNAcentral.
CCCUUAGAUGUUCUGGGCCGCACGCGCGCUACACUGAUUCAUGCAACAAGUUUUGUCCUUGGCUGAUAGGCCUGGGUAAUCUUUGAACGUGAAUCGUGAUGGGGAUAGAUGAUUGCAAUUAUUCAUCUUCAACGAGGAAUUCCUAGUAAACGCAAGUCAUCAGCUUGCAUUGAUUACGUCCCUGCCCUUUGUACACACCGCCCGUCGCACCUACCGAUUGAAUGGUCCGGUGAAAUCUCGGGACGGCGGCUCGGUCGCUUGCGUCCGACUGCUGAAACUUGAUUAAACCAUAUCAUUUAGAGGAAGGUGAAGUCGUAACA